Molecule: ribosomal RNA, 501 nt
Filed under: uncultured bacterium
Lineage: Bacteria
Description: partial 16S ribosomal RNA
Rfam family: Bacterial small subunit ribosomal RNA
Source: RNAcentral
AUUGAACGCUGGCGGCAGGCUUAACACAUGCAAGUCGAGCGGAGAUGAGGUGCUUGCACCUUAUCUUAGCGGCGGACGGGUGAGUAAUGCUUAGGAAUCUGCCUAUUAGUGGGGGACAACAUUCCGAAAGGAAUGCUAAUACCGCAUACGUCCUACGGGAGAAAGCAGGGGAUCUUCGGACCUUGCGCUAAUAGAUGAGCCUAAGUCGGAUUAGCUAGUUGGUGGGGUAAAGGCCUACCAAGGCGACGAUCUGUAGCGGGUCUGAGAGGAUGAUCCGCCACGCUGGGACGGAGACACGGCCCAGACUCCUACGGGAGGCAGCAGUGGGGAAUAUUGGACAAUGGGGGGAACCCUGAUCCAGCCAUGCCGCGUGUGUGAAGAAGGCCUUAUGGUUGUGAAGCACUUUAAGCGAGGAGGAGGCUACUGAGACUAAUACUCUUGGAUAGUGGACGUUACUCGCAGAAUAAGCACCGGCUAACUCUGUGCCAGCCGCCGCAGUAA